GCAAGGACGGACCGCGGCUUACCGGAGACGGAGGUAAAUAUGGAGACAGCAGCCGUCCGAUGGCUUCUUCCGAUAUCUAACGCCAAAUUCUUCGCGUGCCGCUGAUGCACGCGUCUCCAAGAUAUAUCGGAAAGUUUCCUGCGAUAUUUAGGAGCAUGCUUUUAGCUUGUCGACUAAUGCUUGAACACCUGAAAAAAAAACCAGUCUAUUUUUCUAAGACAGCCAGCGGGCCAAGGAAAAUUGGCCACGGUGGUUGAGAAGAUACGAUACCAGAGGAAGACGAAGAAAAC
RNAcentral lists this long non-coding RNA (290 nucleotides) under Phoenix dactylifera (date palm). RNAcentral describes it as "long non-coding RNA (PDAC_LNC019628)". The record is from RNAcentral. Lineage: Eukaryota; Viridiplantae; Streptophyta; Magnoliopsida; Arecales; Arecaceae.